AAUGAUUGGGCGUAAAGGGUCCGCACGUCGGCAUUGUAAGUCUGCUGUUAAAGAGUUUGGCUCAACCAAAUAAGAGCAGUGGAAACUACAAAGCUAGAGUGUGGUCGGGGCAGAGGGAAUCCUGGUGUAGCGGUGAAAUGCGUAGAUAUCAGGAAGAACACCAGUGGCGAAGGCGCUCUGCUAGGCCGAGACUGACACUGAGGGACGAAAGCUAGGGGAGCGAAUGGGAUUAGAUACCCCAGUAGUCCUAGCCGUAAACGAUGGAUACUAGGCGUAGCUCGUAUCGACCCGAGCUGUGCCGGAGCUAACGCGUUAAGUAUCCCGCCUGGGGAGUACGCAGGCAACUGUGAAACUCAAAGGAAUUGACGGGGGCCCGCACAAGCGGUGGAGUAUGUGGUUUAAUUCGAUGCAACGCGAAGAACCUUACCAAGGCUUGACAUGUCACGAAUCCUAUUGAAAGAUGGGAGUGCCUUCGGGAGCGUGAACACGGGUGGUGCAUGGCUGUCGUCAGCUCGUGUCGUGAGAUGUUGGGUUAAGUCCCGCAACGAGCGCAACCCUCGUUUUCAGUUGCCAGCAUUAAAAUGGGCACUCUAGA
RNAcentral lists this ribosomal RNA (595 nucleotides) under uncultured bacterium. RNAcentral's name for it is "bacterial SSU rRNA". It matches the Rfam family "Bacterial small subunit ribosomal RNA", at positions 549 to 1144 of the family's 1533-position model. The record is from RNAcentral.